CGGCGGACGGGUGAGUAAUGCCUAGGAAUCUGCCUGGUAGUGGGGGACAACGUUUCGAAAGGAACGCUAAUACCGCAUACGUCCUACGGGAGAAAGCAGGGGACCUUCGGGCCUUGCGCUAUCAGAUGAGCCUAGGUCGGAUUAGCUAGUUGGUGAGGUAAUGGCUCACCAAGGCGACAUCCGUAACUGGUCUGAGAGGAUGAUCAGUCACACUGGAACUGAGACACGGUCCAGACUCCUACGGGAGGCAGCAGUU
RNAcentral lists this ribosomal RNA (256 nucleotides) under uncultured Pseudomonas sp. RNAcentral's name for it is "partial 16S ribosomal RNA". It matches the Rfam family "Bacterial small subunit ribosomal RNA", at positions 96 to 355 of the family's 1533-position model. Lineage: Bacteria; Pseudomonadati; Pseudomonadota; Gammaproteobacteria; Pseudomonadales; Pseudomonadaceae. The record is from RNAcentral.